This 254-nucleotide ribosomal RNA is filed under the name uncultured bacterium. RNAcentral describes it as "partial 16S ribosomal RNA". It matches the Rfam family "Bacterial small subunit ribosomal RNA", at positions 524 to 776 of the family's 1533-position model. The record is from RNAcentral.
UACGUAGGGCGCAAGCGUUGUCCGGAAUUAUUGGGCGUAAAGAGCUCGUAGGCGGUCUGUCACGUCUGCCGUGAAAACCCGAGGCUUAACCUCGUGGCUUGCGGUGGAUACGGGCAGACUAGAGGUAGGUAGGGGAGAACGGAAUUCCCGGUGUAGCGGUGAAAUGCGCAGAUAUCGGGAGGAACACCGGUGGCGAAGGCGGUUCUCUGGGCCUUACCUGACGCUGAGGAGCGAAAGCAUGGGGAGCGAACCGG